This 1662-nucleotide ribosomal RNA is filed under the name Dendroctonus adjunctus (roundheaded pine beetle). RNAcentral describes it as "partial 18S ribosomal RNA". It matches the Rfam family "Eukaryotic small subunit ribosomal RNA", at positions 109 to 1680 of the family's 1831-position model. Lineage: Eukaryota; Metazoa; Arthropoda; Insecta; Coleoptera; Curculionidae. The record is from RNAcentral.
GGUAUGGUUCCUUAUAUCGUNCCCACACUUACUUGGAUAACUGUGGUAAUUCUAGANCUAAUACAUGCAAACAGAACUCCGACCAGAGAUGGAAGGAGUGCUUUUAUUANAUCAAAACCAAUCGGUGGCGGGCUUGCUCGUCAUCGUACAACUUGGUGACUCUGAAUAACUUUACGCUGAUCGCACGGUCUUAGCACCGGCGACGCAUCUUUCAAAUGUCUGCCUUAUCAACUGUCGAUGGUAGGUUCUGCGCCUACCAUGGUUGUAACGGGUAACGGGGAAUCAGGGUUCGAUUCCGGAGAGGGAGCCUGAGAAACGGCUACCACAUCCAAGGAAGGCAGCAGGCGCGCAAAUUACCCACUCCCGGCACGGGGAGGUAGUGACGAAAAAUAACGAUACGGGACUCAUCCGAGGCCCCGUAAUCGGAAUGAGUACACUCUAAACCCUUUAACGAGGAUCAAUUGGAGGGCAAGUCUGGUGCCAGCAGCCGCGGUAAUUCCAGCUCCAAUAGCGUAUAUUAAAGUUGUUGCGGUUAAAAAGCUCGUAGUCGAAUUUGUGUCUCUUGCNGCCGGUUUAUCGUUCGCGGUAUUUACUGGCGAGUCACGAGACGUCCUGCCGGUGGGCUUAGACUCGCAAGGGCGGCCCAACUCAAUCCUGCCGCGGUGCUCUUCAUUGAGUGUCGAGGUGGGCCGGCACGUUUACUUUGAACAAAUUAGAGUGCUUAAAGCAGGCUAAAACUUCGCCUGAAUACUGUGUGCAUGGAAUAAUGGAAUAGGACCUCGGUUUUAUUUUNNNGGUUUUNGGAACCCCGAGGUAAUGACGAAUAGAAGCNNNNNNNNNNNNNNNNNNNNNNNNNNNNNNNNNNNNNNNNNNNNNNNNNNNNNNNNNNNNNNNNNNNNNNNNCAUUUGCCAAAAACGCUUUCAUUGAUCAAGAACGAAAGUUAUAGGUUCGAGGCGAUCAGAUACCGCCCUAGUUCUAACCUUAAACGAUGCCAGCUAGCGAUCCGUCGACGUUCCUCCGAUGACUCGACGGGCAGCUUCCGGGAAACCAAAGCUUUUGGGUUCCGGGGGAAGUAUGGUUGCAAAGCUGAAACUUAAAGGAAUUGACGGAAGGGCACCACCAGGAGUGGAGCCUGCGGCUUAAUUUGACUCAACACGGGAAAUCUCACCAGGCCCGGACACCGGAAGGAUUGACAGAUUGAGAGCUCUUUCUUGAUUCGGUGGGUGGUGGUGCAUGGUCGUUCUUAGUUGGUGGAGCGAUUUGUCUGGUUAAUUCCGAUAACGAACGAGACUCUAGCCUGCUAAAUAGGCGUAUUUUGACAUCCUAAAGGCCCGCCGGCUUGGGGUUCGCUCCUUGUCGUGCGCGGUUUUUACUGUCGGCGUACAAACAAUUCUUCUUAGAGGGACAGGUGGCUUCUAGUCGCACGAGAUUGAGCAAUAACAGAUCUGUAAUGCCCUUAGAUGUUCUGGGCCGCACGCGCGCUACACUGAAGGAAUCAGCGUGUCCUCCCUGGCCGAGUGGCCCGGGUAACCCGCUGAACCUCCUUCGUGCUAGGGAUUGGGGCUUGCAAUUGUUCCCCAUGAACGAGGAAUGCCCAGUAAGCGCGAAUCAUAAGCUCGCGUUGAUUACGUCCCUGCCCUUUGUACACACCGCCCGUCCNC